This is a long non-coding RNA of Suricata suricatta (meerkat), 526 nucleotides long. RefSeq lists it as uncharacterized. NCBI's taxonomy places the organism in Eukaryota, Metazoa, Chordata, Mammalia, Carnivora, Herpestidae. The transcript has 2 exons. The record is from RefSeq and is a predicted model, not a curated record.
UGAGAGGAAAGACCAAGAGAAUUGCAGAGACUCUCUGACUCAGUAUACUUGCAUUGUGAAGAUGCUGACCCAAACCUGCCUAGCUCAAGGUUUUCUUCAGUCAACAAUGGAUAUUCUCACAGAUUUUCUGUUGCUAUCUGCAGAACAAUCCCAUCUAAUACUAUCCCUACUAACCCAGCGUAUAAGCCCUGCUGUCUAUGCCUCCAGCUAUUCUGUUGGCUCUGCUCACCGUGUACUGAUGUUCCCUCUGGUGAAAACUUUUUAGGAUGUUCCCUCCUAACAACCACUCCUGAGAAGCCUGAUCUGAAAAACAUUGAAGGCGAUGAUCUUAUAGAAUGGCAGAGGAAAAAAGAAACACAAAAGCAGCAGCUCUGGGACUCACUCUUCUCUAGACAAUUGGCUUCUUGCUGGGAGCCUCAUGUUUCUAUAUCUGAGUUUGAUGAUAAAGCCCUAGGGAUUUCUUUCAGUCUGUUCUUCACUGAAACCACUGUAAAAUCAUAGUAAAAAAUAAGGAUAAUGAAAAUAA